GGCCCCGUAGCUCAGUGGAUAGAGCGCCCUGCUGGUCUCAGGGGACGGUCGCAGGUUCGAUUCCUGCCGGGGCCA
Molecule: transfer RNA, 75 nt
Filed under: Actinomycetota bacterium
Lineage: Bacteria; Bacillati; Actinomycetota
Description: tRNA-Thr
Rfam family: tRNA
About the family: Transfer RNA (tRNA) molecules are approximately 80 nucleotides in length.
Source: RNAcentral